AAAACCUUCAGACACACACAGAAGUACUUGGUUCUGCUGCUGAUUGGAUCAUCACUUAGAACUGUAUCCAUGGCAGAUGUUUUCCUCUGCUGUUGUCUGAUGGUAUGGGUGUUGUUCUCAGUCCAACAGGUGGAGGUGGAUUCAGGGGAGGAGUCUGUCCUGCUGCCCUGGAAAACCACAUUUCAUAUAGAGGACGUCAGUCAGGUCACAGUGGAGUGGACAGACUAUUAUGACAGGAAGGUCCAUGUGUAUGAGGACGGCUCUGACAGAACUAAUGAACAGGACGAUGAAUACAGAAACAGAACAGAGAUGAAUGAAGACCCACUGAGAACUGGAGACCUCAGUCUGACCCUGAAACACCCCACAGACUGGGACAUCCACACCCACACCUGCACCGUCUACAACAGAGACAAGCAGAUCCUGAGGAGGAAACAAGUGGAUCUGAAGGUCAAAGUCCAACAGGUGGAGGUGGAUUCAGGGGAGGAGUCUGUCCUGCUGCCCUGGAAAACCACAUUUCAUAUAGAGGACGUCAGUCAGGUCACAGUGAAGUGGACGGACUUUUGGGACUUUUGGGACAGGACAGUCCAUGUGUAUGAGGACGGCUCUGACAGAACUAAUGAACAGGACGAUUUUUACAGAAACAGAACAGAGAUGAAAGAAGACCCACUGAGAACUGGAGACCUCAGUCUGACCCUGAAACACCCCAUGUACGAGGACACCCGCAUCUACACCUGCACCGUCUACAACAGAGACAAGCAGAUCCUGAGGAGGAAACAAGUGGAUCUGAAGGUCAUAGUCCAACAGGUGGAGGUGGAUUCAGGGGAGGAGUCUGUCCUGCUGCCCUGGAAAACCACAUUUCAUAUAGAGGACGUCAGUCAGCUCACAGUGGAGUGGACGAACUAUUGUCACAGGAAGGUCCACGUGUAUGAGGACGGCUCUGACAGAACUAAUGAACAGGACGAUUUUUACAGAAACAGAACAGAGAUGAAAGAAGACCCACUGAGAACUGGAGACCUCAGUCUGACCCUGAAACACCCCACAGACUGGGGCACUGACGUUUACACAUGCACCGUCUACAACAGAGACAAGGAGAUCCUGAAGAGGAAACGACUGGACGUGAAGGUCAAAGCCCUUGUGCCACCAGUCUUGAGGAGAUCGGUUCCAGAGCCCCAGUCUAGUCUGUACCUCUCAACCAUCUGCCACAACUCAGCCUCCUUCCCCACCAGGACAGUGGCAUUGUGUGUCCUACAGCCAAUUUAGACAACCAUGGAUUUCUGAGUGUAGUCAUCUAAUCAGCCUUCUCUGCUGUUCUUGGUCAAAUUACUUAAGUUGAGCAAUUAUUCAAUCUUUUCCUUUUAAAGAGGCUGAUUUUCCUUCAUAUAGAAGAUUUGAUGAUAAAAAACGGUCCCAUGUUGUCAUGUUUCCUCCCAGAUCAAGAGGUGGAGCAGGAGGAGAGGAGAAUGUGGGGCCUGCCGCACCAUCUGCACGACCCCUGACCUGCCGCAGGACGCCACAGUAGAGUGGGAACUGUUGCAUCAGCCAUUUGGUUCUGAAAAUAACCAGUGUGUGUUUAGUAAUGAUACUGAGACUUCUGAUCAUUUAUCUUUUUGCUGUAAAUUUUCUGAAACUGUGGUUUGAUCUACAUGGCUGGCUUCGUACAGAAAUUCACCUGGAACCCUUCUCUUGUGAAAACCUCAUAUUCGGACCGAUCCUGGACAAUUAGGAGAAGAACAUUCUGAUGAACAACAUUCUCAUUCUUGCUCAGUUCCAUGUACACAAAUGUAGGUAUUUAAAAACAAAACCCAGAUUUUCAUAUUGAGUUUCUUUAUUUCUUAAAAUCCCUGAAUCUCCUAAAAAAAGAAAAAUGGCUGCAACCUUUUUAACAUUAUUGAAAAAUAUGACUUAACAAAGACUUACCCUUUGUUUAACUUUAUUUCAGUUAUAUAAAGACAUUAAAUUUGGAAUUAUAAUGGAAAACCAAAAAGGAGAAAUUAUGUACAACACUUGAAUUAUUUUUGCUAAACAAUUUAUCCAUAGAUGUAGAUUUAUGAAGAGCCACCCACUGUCCUCAAGUUAUAUAAAUGAAAUAACAAACUUCAAAAAAACAAACAAAAAACAGCAACACUGAAACAUGUAAAAACCAAACAAGCCUUGAUUGUGUAUGAAAAUUUAAAUGUAUUGAUACCUGAAUAGACCUCUGUCUUUUAUUUUAUUUUUUUUAUUUUUUAUUUUUUUUAUAUAUACAACGUUCUUUACAAAUACUGUUCAGUAUAAGGUUGAUAUCGAUGCUCAGUCUGGAAAAUAAAUGCUUUCUGUAAUUCUUCAGAAUGUAUGUCCAGAUUUUGUUCAAUAAAGUUGAAGGAUUAAAAAAAAAAAAAACAAAAAAAAAAAACACCUUUAUUUCAAUUAUGAAAUUGUUUUUUUGUUUGUUUUGUUUUUAUCCCUCCUAUGCCCUUUGCACCUCUUCCUGUUUUGAUUUGUAAAAUAAUUUAUGC
This is a long non-coding RNA of Sphaeramia orbicularis (orbiculate cardinalfish), 2495 nucleotides long. Lineage: Eukaryota; Metazoa; Chordata; Actinopteri; Kurtiformes; Apogonidae. The record is from Ensembl.